CCUACGGGAGGCAGCAGUGGGGAAUUUUGGACAAUGGGGGCAACCCUGAUCCAGCCAUUCCGCGUGAGUGAAGAAGGCCUUCGGGUUGUAAAGCUCUUUCGCAAGGGAAGAAAACUUAUGAUCGAAUAAAUCAUGAGGUUGACGGUACCUUGAUAAGAAGCACCGGCUAACUACGUGCCAGCAGCCGCGGUAAUACGUAGGGUGCGAGCGUUAAUCGGAAUUACUGGGCGUAAAGCGUGCGCAGGCGGUUUUGUAAGUCGGAUGUGAAAUCCCCGGGCUCAACCUGGGAACUGCGUUCGAAACUGCAAGGCUAGAGUGUGUCAGAGGGGGGUAGAAUUCCACGUGUAGCAGUGAAAUGCGUAGAGAUGUGGAGGAAUACCAAUGGCGAAGGCAGCCCCCUGGGAUAACACUGACGCUCAUGCACGAAAGCGUGGGGAGCAAACAGGAUUAGAUACCCUGGUAGUCCACGCCCUAAACGAUGUCAACUAGUUGUUGGUAGAGUAAAAUCUAUGAGUAACGUAGCUAACGCGUGAAGUUGACCGCCUGGGGAGUACGGUCGCAAGAUUAAAACUCAAAGGAAUUGACGG
This 587-nucleotide ribosomal RNA is filed under the name uncultured bacterium. RNAcentral's name for it is "bacterial SSU rRNA". It matches the Rfam family "Bacterial small subunit ribosomal RNA", at positions 338 to 916 of the family's 1533-position model. RNAcentral also lists the same sequence under 1 other name. The record is from RNAcentral.